RNAcentral lists this ribosomal RNA (467 nucleotides) under uncultured bacterium. RNAcentral's name for it is "partial 16S ribosomal RNA". It matches the Rfam family "Bacterial small subunit ribosomal RNA", at positions 28 to 507 of the family's 1533-position model. The record is from RNAcentral.
GACGAACGCUGGCGGCGUGCUUAACACAUGCAAGUCGAACGGAAAGGCCCUGCUUUUGUGGGGUGCUCGAGUGGCGAACGGGUGAGUAACACGUGAGUAACCUGCCCUUGACUUUGGGAUAACUUCAGGAAACUGGGGCUAAUACCGGAUAGGAGCUCCUGCUGCAUGGUGGGGGUUGGUAAGUUUCGGCGGUUGGGGAUGGACUCGCGGCUUAUCAGCUUGUUGGUGGGGUAGUGGCUUACCAAGGCUUUGACGGUAGCCGGCCUGAGAGGGUGACCGGCCACAUUGGGACUGAGAUACGGCCCAGACUCCUACGGGAGGCAGCAGUGGGGAAUAUUGCACAAUGGGCGGAAGCCUGAUGCAGCAACGCCGCGUGCGGGAUGACGGCCUUCGGGUUGUAAACCGCUUUCGCCUGUGACGAAGCGUGAGUGACGGUAAUGGGUAAAGAAGCACCGGCUAACUACGUG